RNAcentral lists this transfer RNA (67 nucleotides) under Diaphorina citri (Asian citrus psyllid). It matches the Rfam family "tRNA". Rfam says of the family: Transfer RNA (tRNA) molecules are approximately 80 nucleotides in length. Their secondary structure includes four short double-helical elements and three loops (D, anti-codon, and T loops). The record is from Rfam by way of RNAcentral. Lineage: Eukaryota; Metazoa; Arthropoda; Insecta; Hemiptera; Psyllidae.
GAGCCUGUAGAGGUCACUACACUCGCCUUGCACGCGGGAGACCCGGGUUCGAUCCCCGGCGAGGUCA